CCGAUCCUUUCCUCGCUGUUCCCUCUUCUUUGAGCUCGCGACGUCGUGCCCUAGCCAACUCACACCGCCGAAUCCCUCUCCCUCUCACGAUUUCCUCUCCUCAUCUUCCUACCGUGCCCUAGACCUAUCGUCGACGCUGAGCCACGUGACCUCGCCGCACGACAACGCCUCUGACGCCGAGCAUCCGCAUGAGAUCCGCCAACAACACAGCAACCAUCGCCAGUAUGGGAGCGAUACUGUUAGCCGGUGAUGUCGCCCCAUCAUUCGAUCACGCCACUUCCUUCCGACACCGAUCGUCGUCCGUACGGCACCCCUCCUUGCCAGAGCAAGCUACGACCACGACCAGUGCCGCAUCGCUUAUCGUCUGGCUCCCGAUUGUGCCGGCGCUGUUCGAUGCUGUUGCCACCCGCCACAAUGAUCCCAGAUCGCCCCGACUCCCCAGCCCCGGUGAAGAUUGUUGAUGGCCAUUGUUAACAACUCAUGAGCCUUCAUCCAGUUGUGAGCCACCUUCUCUGUGGAUUUCUGUGAGUUCCAACUAGAGCUUCAAACGGUAUGAGCAGCGGAGUAUCCUGCUACCGACGAUCAUUGGAGGUAACCACUCAUACCAGUAAAUGAUUUUGGUGUAAAUUUGUGGUUGAUGCUGAUUUUGGAGCAUUGGGCUGGUUGGACAACAACAUUUAACGUUCAUCCGAGGGGAACUUAUGGAUCUGGAUCAAGGGUCAAGCAAAGGAUGCUUGGUUUGGACAUUCGCAACGACAACCUUCUCCGGUUACGAGUUAACAAUGGAAUACACUGAUUUAGGACGUUGAUUCGAGACUAGCAUCUCGGUAUGGGAUUAUUUAGCACGAUCUACAUUUAAGGCGGGUACUUCUUGCUUUAUCUCUUUAGUACAUUGUUCCUAGUGCAUAAGCUAUACCUUCGGAUAGUUCCUGUAUUUAUCUUGACUCUACUCAUAUUUUUUCUGCAUUUGAUACUUCCACUCAAUAUUUGAGCUACUUGUUUCUAUAUCUAUACAGUCUCUCGUUACUAUCUAUGAUAUUUAGCAGAUACCAGACACUAGAUACUAGAUACCAGAUACCAUAUUUACCUGCUUUGACUGCUAUUUAUUCAUAUUUCUUAUUGAGCAUGCUAGAUUCAUGUAGCAUACAUGUUUCUAUAUAUAUAUAAAAUGACUGUUACAUUUUUCACAUCAUGUCAUUGUAUGCAUGUCGACGAUCAUGUUUCCCUUGUGGUUGAGAGGGUCGUUUGCCAAGGCCGCAUGCUCGGCCACUCAUGGGUAGUGGUAGCUGGAGCGUGCCACUUGUCCUGUCGUGCCCCCACUCGCACACUCAUAGGUAGUGAUAACUGGAGUCGCGGACAGCAGGGACCCCCAUCGCAAACGUAGCUAUUCAGCUACUAUACAACUGCCCCCAUGGCCACUCGAGAGUAGUGGUAGCUGAAGUGGUGUACAGUCUGUUAUUGUCCCGACCUCUCGACCAUACAGGGGUCAUGGUACAGGGGGUGGGCGGGAGUGACAUCCAUGCAUACGCUAUUUAUUAUUUAUGCUGCUAUUGCUUAUUUAUGCUACUAUUGCUUACUUAUGCUAAUAUGCUCACAUAGGUUGAGAUACAUACCUGAGGUAUGUGUUUAGACACUGUUUACUUAUUGGUAGUAUACCUCACAUGAUACCCUUGUAGUUAUGAGCAGUAUUGUAGCAGGUCUGAACUAUUCCCGACCUUACUAGCCUAGGAUAUGGUUUCAGGUACGGAUAUAUACUUUGUUUACAUAGUAGUAUCUGCUAUUUAUCUUUCCGAGAUUGUAUCCUGUUGUAUUCCUGGCUCGUUAUUUUACUCAUGCACUGUCUAUCUAUUACCCGCUGAGUCUUUAUACUCACCACCCCGUAAACUGGUUAUU
Long non-coding RNA from Zingiber officinale, 1893 nucleotides. RefSeq lists it as uncharacterized. The record is from RefSeq and is a predicted model, not a curated record. Lineage: Eukaryota; Viridiplantae; Streptophyta; Magnoliopsida; Zingiberales; Zingiberaceae. The transcript has 3 exons.